CGUCAGGACAUGAACCGUGGGAGGGCAGCCUGACUCUGUGCCACGUGGCACUGCCUGGGCUGCACAGGAGAACGUGGCCGUACACUGCGUGGGGUUCAGUAAUAUCCUUGGCUUCAGGCACUCCCUGGGGUCCUGGCUGCGCCCCAGGGAAGCAACUGAGGGAGCAGCCUCUGCGGAGGCCGACCGUGUGGUGACCGGAGCAUCCCGCACUCGCGUGCAGUGCCGGGGGCUCGCAUCUUCAGGCAGAGGCCUGCGGCGGGGAGAAGCAGACACGGCCCGUGUUUCCUUGUGGGCUGCAGCUGCUUGCAGUCUCUCUGCGGAAGAAGUCCCCUGCCAGUAUAAGCUGUUGUUAUUUGCCUGCUGUCCUAUCUCUGCCCAUCUAAGUCUCACUGCCUGUGCAAUCCGACCCAGAGCUUAACUAAUCUGAGCCACUGAAACAAUUCGCCAUCUUACGAGAAAUGAAAUUAAAAAGUUUCCUCCUGUCUCUUUCCCCGUUGGUCUUGAAAAUCAUUAUUUAAUCCUGGAAGCACUGUUGGCCCUUCUCGAUUUCGCUAUUGUUUCUGCCUCAAUAAAACAAAAUAUCAUUGUGGAGUUUAUUUCUUC
Molecule: long non-coding RNA, 603 nt
Filed under: Oryctolagus cuniculus (rabbit)
Lineage: Eukaryota; Metazoa; Chordata; Mammalia; Lagomorpha; Leporidae
Description: lncRNA (ENSOCUG00000030215.1)
Source: RNAcentral